CGAACGGGUGAGUAACACGUGGGUAAUCUGCCCUGCACUCUGGGAUAAGCCUUGGAAACGAGGUCUAAUACCGGAUAUCACAACGCUUCGCAUGGAGUGUUGUUGAAAGUUCUGGCGGUGCAGGAUGAACCCGCGGCCUAUCAGCUUGUUGGUGGGGUAGUGGCCUACCAAGGCGACGACGGGUAGCCGGCCUGAGAGGGUGACCGGCCACACUGGGACUGAGACACGGCCCAGACUCCUACGGGAGGCAGCAGUGGGGAAUAUUGCACAAUGGGCGAAAGCCUGAUGCAGCGACGCCGCGUGAGGGAUGACGGCCUUCGGGUUGUAAACCUCUUUCGCCAGGGACGAAGCGCAAGUGACGGUACCUGGAUAAGAAGCACCGGCUAACUACGUGCCAGCAGCCGCGGUAAUACGUAGGGUGCAAGCGUUGUCCGGAUUUAUUGGGCGUAAAGAGCUCGUAGGCGGUUUGUCGCGUCGGCUGUGAAAUCUGGAGGCUUAACCUUCAGCGUGCAGUCGAUACGGGCAGACUUGAGUUCGGUAGGGGAGACUGGAAUUCCUGGUGUAGCGGUGAAAUGCGCAGAUAUCAGGAGGAACACCGGUGGCGAAGGCGGGUCUCUGGGCCGAUACUGACGCUGAGGAGC
RNAcentral lists this ribosomal RNA (641 nucleotides) under Amycolatopsis sp. I14A-00821. RNAcentral's name for it is "bacterial SSU rRNA". It matches the Rfam family "Bacterial small subunit ribosomal RNA", at positions 99 to 754 of the family's 1533-position model. Lineage: Bacteria; Bacillati; Actinomycetota; Actinomycetes; Pseudonocardiales; Pseudonocardiaceae. The record is from RNAcentral.